UACGUAGGGUGCGAGCGUUGUCCGGAAUUCUUGGGCGUAAAGAGCUUGUAGGCGGUCUGUCGCGUCUGCUGUGAAAAUCCGGGGCUCAACCCCGGACUUGCAGUGGGUACGGGCAGACUAGAGUGUGGUAGGGGAGACUGGAAUUCCUGGUGUAGCGGUGAAAUGCGCAGAUAUCAGGAGGAACACCGAUGGCGAAGGCAGGUCUCUGGGCCACUACUGACGCUGAGAAGCGAAAGCAUGGGGAGCGAACAGG
This 253-nucleotide ribosomal RNA is filed under the name uncultured bacterium. Its description in RNAcentral is "partial 16S ribosomal RNA". It matches the Rfam family "Bacterial small subunit ribosomal RNA", at positions 524 to 776 of the family's 1533-position model. The record is from RNAcentral.